CCUACGGGAGGCAGCAGUGGGGAAUAUUGCACAAUGGGGGAAACCCUGAUGCAGCGACGCCGCGUGAGUGAAGAAGUAUUUCGGUAUGUAAAGCUCUAUCAGCAGGGAAGAAAAUGACGGUACCUGAUUAAGAAGCCCCGGCUAACUACGUGCCAGCAGCCGAGGUAAUACGUAGGGGGCAAGCGUUAUCCGGAUUUACUGGGUGUAAAGGGAGCGUAGACGGCAGCACAAGUCUGGAGUGAAAUGGCGGGGCUUAACCCCGGAACUGCUUUGGAAACUGUGCAGCUAGAGUGAAGGAGAGGUAAGUGGAAUUCCGAGUGUAGCGGUGAAAUGCGUAGAUAUUAGGAGGAACACCAGUGGAGAAGGCGGCUUACUGGACUGUAACUGACGUUGAGGCUCGAAAGCGUGGGGAGCAAACAGGAUUAGAUACCCCAGUAGUC
This 440-nucleotide ribosomal RNA is filed under the name uncultured bacterium. RNAcentral describes it as "partial 16S ribosomal RNA". It matches the Rfam family "Bacterial small subunit ribosomal RNA", at positions 338 to 795 of the family's 1533-position model. The record is from RNAcentral.